Molecule: non-coding RNA, 99 nt
Organism: Trametes polyzona
Lineage: Eukaryota; Fungi; Basidiomycota; Agaricomycetes; Polyporales; Polyporaceae
Source: the annotation of a GenBank genome assembly
GGCGAUAUGGCCGAGCGGUCUAAGGCGCUAGAAUCAGGAUUUAAACAUAUCCUACAUAUCUAGUCCGGAAGGGCGUGGGUUCGAAUCCCACUGUCGUCA